UACGUAGGUGGCAAGCGUUGUCCGGAUUUACUGGGCGUAAAGAGCGCGCAGGCGGUCGUUCAAGUCGCGUGUGAAAGCCCCCGGCUCAACUGGGGAGGGUCACGCGAUACUGAUCGACUCGAAGGCAGGAGAGGGUAGUGGAAUUCCCGGUGUAGCGGUGAAAUGCGCAGAUAUCGGGAGGAACACCGGCGGCGAAGGCGGCACUCUGGGCCGGUACUGACGCUGAGGAGCGAAAGCGUGGGGAGCAAACAGG
RNAcentral lists this ribosomal RNA (253 nucleotides) under uncultured bacterium. Its description in RNAcentral is "partial 16S ribosomal RNA". It matches the Rfam family "Bacterial small subunit ribosomal RNA", at positions 524 to 776 of the family's 1533-position model. The record is from RNAcentral.